This is a long non-coding RNA of Chinchilla lanigera (long-tailed chinchilla), 1047 nucleotides long. RefSeq lists it as uncharacterized. The transcript has 3 exons. The record is from RefSeq and is a predicted model, not a curated record. Lineage: Eukaryota; Metazoa; Chordata; Mammalia; Rodentia; Chinchillidae.
UUUGUUAGGGUGAUGAAGAUUUCUCUGGCAUCCAUCCAAUCAGACCCAAGACCACAGACACUAUUGGCUGCCAGUUUUAAACAGAAAAUAAACUUGUCUGAAAGACUCACAAUGCCAGGGCAGUUCCCUAGAGAAUAUGAGAACCAUACAACGGAUCUGAAAGUCAAAGAAACCCAAUAGCCAGACGGAAAGCUCCUCCAAGCCUUUGAAGAAGUUAGCGUGGAAGAAAGGGAAUGAGGACAUUCUUCCCUUCCUCUAUUCACGUAAACAUUUGCAAUGGUUUUCUGAACAAAGCGCAGCUGCUUUCCAAUCCAUGGAUCAAAGUGUGAGCAGGUGACGCUGACCGCCUUCUAAGAGAAGCCUGUCAAGCACCAAAGUGCAAAGGUGAAAAUUAGAAUGUAUGGGCACAAAACUCCAUGGCAUCUUUGUAACUGACAGCCAAAUGCUUCGAAGCCUACCUUUCCAGCACAGUUCCUGACAGCCGUAGUAUCUUGUAGCUCAGGCUUCCAGAGAAUCAAUGACCUCCACUCAGCUAAAUAUCAAGAAAAGGUAAAUAUAAUGAAUGCACUGGUAAAUCCCAACCUACGGUGUGAAGGGGGCUCUGGUUUGGAUCAAAGAAAACAAGUGAAAGCACAAACUUUACAAGAGAAUGUGCAUAUAUCUACUUUGGAGAGCUCUCGUUUGUGGGACAGAGCAUUCUAUACCGCAGACAUUUACACACCGCAGAUCUCACCAACCUGUGUGGCUUGGAGAAAUUAAGAGAGACACCUGUGAAGACUGUCACUCCCCGGCACGGCCAGUACUGCUGAAAACGGUUGUACUAAAACCCAAAUCACAUCCACGGAGCAAAGGCUGCUGACGUGCGAGAGCUGAAUCAAACUGACAGUGUUCAAAGUGCUGAAAGCAAUAUUUUUUUCUGAACUGCCACCCACACAGGAAGCUCAACAGACGUAUUAAUUAUACCUAGCGUGUAAUCCAAAAGAUCCAGGGAAUGUGCUUUAUUUAUUUUUUCUUUGGGGACGAGAGGAGAAUAAAAUAAGACGAUGU